This 485-nucleotide ribosomal RNA is filed under the name uncultured bacterium. Its description in RNAcentral is "partial 16S ribosomal RNA". It matches the Rfam family "Bacterial small subunit ribosomal RNA", at positions 28 to 507 of the family's 1533-position model. The record is from RNAcentral.
GAUGAACGCUGGCGGCGUGCUUAACACAUGCAAGUCGAACGGGAUCCAAGGGGUGCUUGCACUUUUUGGUGAGAGUGGCGCACGGGUGAGUAACACGUGUGUAACCUUUCCUUUUCUUUGGGAUAAGCAUUCGAAAGGGUGUUUUAUACCUUAUGUUCUGUCUGCCUUGCAUGGGGUGGGUCGUCAAGGCUUUGGCCGGAUUUGGGUGGGCUCGCGGUCUAUCUGCUUGUUGGUGGGGUGAUGGCUUACCAAGGCUUUGACGGGUAGCUGGCCUGAGAGGGUGGUGGGACAGAGUGGGACUGAGAUACGGGACAGAAUGCAGCGGGAGGCAGCAGUGGGGGAUGUUGCAAAGUGGGAGAAAGCCUGAUGCAGCGACGCCGGGUGGGGGAUGAAGGGUAUAGGGUUGUAAACUUCUAAGGCUAUGAACAAGGCAUGCCAGUGGGUGUGUUGAGUGUAGGGGUGAAUAAGCGCCGGCUAACUACGUG